CUGUCGUCAGCUCGUGUCGUGAGAUGUUGGGUUAAGUCCCGCAACGAGCGCAACCCACGUAUUUAGUUGCUAACGGUUCGGCCGAGCACUCUAAAUAGACUGCCUUCGUAAGGAGGAGGAAGGUGUGGACGACGUCAAGUCAUCAUGGCCCUUAUGCCCAGGGCGACACACGUGCUACAAUGGCAUAUACAAUGAGACGCAAUACCGCGAGGUGGAGCAAAUCUAUAAAAUAUGUCCCAGUUCGGAUUGUUCUCUGCAACUCGAGAGCAUGAAGCCGGAAUCGCUAGUAAUCGUAGAUCAGCCAUGCUACGGUGAAUACGUUCCCGGGUCUUGUACUCACCGCCCGUCACACCAUGGGAGUUGAUUUCACUCGAAGCCGGAAUACUAAACUAGUUACCGUCCACAGUGGAAUCAGCGACUGGGGUGAAGUCGUAACAAGGUAACCGUAGGAGAACCUGCGGUUGGAUCACCUCCUUUCUAG
Molecule: ribosomal RNA, 481 nt
Filed under: Campylobacter jejuni
Lineage: Bacteria; Pseudomonadati; Campylobacterota; Epsilonproteobacteria; Campylobacterales; Campylobacteraceae
Description: bacterial SSU rRNA
Rfam family: Bacterial small subunit ribosomal RNA
Source: RNAcentral